CGCGGCCUAUCAGCUUGUUGGUGGGGUAGUGGCCUACCAAGGCGACGACGGGUAGCCGGCCUGAGAGGGUGACCGGCCACACUGGGACUGAGACACGGCCCAGACUCCUACGGGAGGCAGCAGUGGGGAAUAUUGCGCAAUGGGCGAAAGCCUGACGCAGCGACGCCGCGUGGGGGAUGACGGCCUUCGGGUUGUAAACCUCUUUCAGCAGGGACGAAGCGAAAGUGACGGUACCUGCAGAAGAAGCACCGGCCAACUACGUGCCAGCAGCCGCGGUAAUACGUAGGGUGCAAGCGUUGUCCGGAAUUAUUGGGCGUAAAGAGCUCGUAGGCGGUUUGUUGCGUCGGCUGUGAAAUCCCGAGGCUCAACCUCGGGUCUGCAGUCGAUACGAGCAAACUAGAGUGUUGCAGGGGAGACUGGAAUUCCUGGUGUAGCGGUGAAAUGCGCAGAUAUCAGGAGGAACACCGGUGGCGAAGGCGGGUCUCUGGGCAACAACUGACGCUGAGGAGCGAAAGCGUGGGGAGCGAACAGGAUUAGAUACCCUGGUAGUCCACGCCGUAAACGUUGGGCGCUAGGUGUGGGGCUCAUUCCACGAGUUCCGUGCCGCAGCUAACGCAUUAAGCGCCCCGCCUGGGGAGUACGG
Molecule: ribosomal RNA, 643 nt
Filed under: uncultured bacterium
Lineage: Bacteria
Description: bacterial SSU rRNA
Rfam family: Bacterial small subunit ribosomal RNA
Source: RNAcentral